AGCGCGACGAGAUCCACACCGCGGGUGACCACCAGAUAGUCCCUGAUCGCGAUGCCGUGCCGGUUCUC
This 68-nucleotide small RNA is filed under the name Mycobacterium sp. 455mf. RNAcentral describes it as "ASdes TB sRNA". It matches the Rfam family "ASdes TB sRNA". RNAcentral also lists the same sequence under 2 other names. The record is from RNAcentral. Lineage: Bacteria; Bacillati; Actinomycetota; Actinomycetes; Mycobacteriales; Mycobacteriaceae.